UUUUAAUUCUUUAGUUGUUUUUGCAAUUACAGGUGUACCCUCAAUCCCCGGUUAGAACGAUCCCUAUUUACCAUAUACUAACGAUGACAUUUUCAGGGUUAAAUUAUGCGCUUACUUUUAGCAACCUGAACCACGCCUUAUGAUCCCUGGUCAUUCAAUCUAAGAACUACAUGAACAAAGAUUGAUGUCUACAAAGAGAUAUUGUUAGUAUAGAGUUGGCAUUCAUUCUUUAACAAAACUCUACUCAUUAAGAAGUCCAAGUCAUGAGUUUAUUAAGCCCAAGUGUGAUGAAGCCAAAUCUCAAGACCAUAAUUGUUUAUUUACAAUUGUUUCACUUGUGGCUGUCUUGCUGUCAAAGACCCAGACCAAGACCAUGAUUGAAGAUUAGUUCAAUUGCAACUUGCUACCUCAUCAUAGCUUGCUGUCUUUCUUCCCCAUCUUAGCUUGUUGUCAUGUCGAAACACCAUACUUGAAGAUAGAAGAAGUGUCCUCUUCCUCAGUGUGAGAGAGAGUUUCCU
This 518-nucleotide long non-coding RNA is filed under the name Rosa chinensis. Its description in RNAcentral is "sRNA RchiOBHm_Chr3g0495621". Lineage: Eukaryota; Viridiplantae; Streptophyta; Magnoliopsida; Rosales; Rosaceae. The record is from RNAcentral.